UACAGAGGAUGCAAGCGUUAUCCGGAAUUACUGGGCGUAAAGCGUGCGCAGGCGGUUCGUUGUGUCGGCGGUGAAAUCCCCGGGCUCAACCUGGGAAUGGCCGUUGAAACUGGCGAACUGGAGUGUGGCAGAGGGGGGUGGAAUUCCGCGUGUAGCAGUGAAAUGCGUAGAGAUGCGGAGGAACACCGAUGGCGAAGGCAGCCCCCUGGGCUGACACUGACGCUCAGGCACGAAAGCGUGGGGAGCGAACAGG
This 253-nucleotide ribosomal RNA is filed under the name uncultured bacterium. Its description in RNAcentral is "partial 16S ribosomal RNA". It matches the Rfam family "Bacterial small subunit ribosomal RNA", at positions 524 to 776 of the family's 1533-position model. The record is from RNAcentral.